Molecule: small nuclear RNA, 93 nt
Filed under: Macleaya cordata
Lineage: Eukaryota; Viridiplantae; Streptophyta; Magnoliopsida; Ranunculales; Papaveraceae
Source: RNAcentral
UUUCUCUUUAGAGACAAUAUGAUAAAAUUGGAACAAUAUAGAGAUGAUUAGCAAGAGAAUGAGACGACAUACACUGAGAAAAAAGAUGAUUUG